CAUUACAGAGUUAUCUAACUCCCAAACCCAUGUGAACUUACCAUUGUUGCCUCGGCAGAACCUACCCGGUACCUACCCUGUAACGACCUACCCUGUAGCGAGUUACCCGGGAACCGUGCCGUCUGGUAGGGCUGCCGGUGGACUUCUAAACUCUUGUUAUUUAUAGUAAUCUGAGCGUCUUAUUUUAAUAAGUCAAAACUUUCAACAACGGAUCUCUUGGUUCUGGCAUCGAUGAAGAACGCAGCGAAAUGCGAUACGUAAUGUGAAUUGCAGAAUUCAGUGAAUCAUCGAAUCUUUGAACGCACAUUGCGCCCAUUAGUACUCUAGUGGGCAUGCCUGUUCGAGCGUCAUUUCAACCCUUAAGCCUAGCUUAGUAUUGACCGCCUACUGUAUUGUAGCGGCCCAAAUCCAACGGCGGAUCUGUGGUAUCCUCUGAGCGUAGUAAUUUUUAUCUCGCUUUUGUUAGGUGCUGCAGCUCCCAGCCGCUAAACCCCCCAAUUUUUAAUGGUUGAC
Molecule: ribosomal RNA, 513 nt
Filed under: Seimatosporium sp. NZFS 87
Lineage: Eukaryota; Fungi; Ascomycota; Sordariomycetes; Amphisphaeriales; Sporocadaceae
Description: eukaryotic LSU rRNA
Rfam family: 5.8S ribosomal RNA (bases 197-350)
Source: RNAcentral